Molecule: transfer RNA, 71 nt
Filed under: Candidatus Roizmanbacteria bacterium
Lineage: Bacteria; Candidatus Roizmaniibacteriota
Description: tRNA-Gln
Rfam family: tRNA
About the family: Transfer RNA (tRNA) molecules are approximately 80 nucleotides in length. Their secondary structure includes four short double-helical elements and three loops (D, anti-codon, and T loops).
Source: RNAcentral
UCGGGGGUCGUCUAACGGUAGGACAACGGACUCUGAAUCCGUUUAUCAUGGUUCAAAUCCAUGCCCCCGAG